This 467-nucleotide ribosomal RNA is filed under the name uncultured bacterium. RNAcentral's name for it is "partial 16S ribosomal RNA". It matches the Rfam family "Bacterial small subunit ribosomal RNA", at positions 29 to 507 of the family's 1533-position model. The record is from RNAcentral.
ACGAACGCUGGCGGCGUGCUUAACACAUGCAAGUCGAACGGAAAGGCCCUGCUUUUGUGGGGUGCUCGCGUGGCGAACGGGUGAGUAACACGUGAGUAACCUGCCCUUGACUUUGGGAUAACUUCAGGAAACUGGGGCUAAUACCGGAUAGGAGCUCCUGCUGCAUGGUGGGGGUUUGAAAGUUUCGGCGGGUGGGGAUGGACUCGCGGCUUAUCAGCUUGUUGGUGGGGUAGUGGCUUACCAAGGCUUUGACGGGUAGCCGGCCUGAGAGGGUGACCGGCCACAUUGGGACUGAGAUACGGCCCAGACUCCUACGGGAGGCAGCAGUGGGGAAUAUUGCACAAUGGGCGGAAGCCUGAUGCAGCAACGCCGCGUGCGGGAUGACGGCCUUCGGGUUGUAAACCGCUUUCGCCUGUGACGAAGCGUGAGUGACGGUAAUGGGUAAAGAAGCACCGGCUAACUACGUG